CCUAGAGUUGUAGGCUUUGCCUGCUAUCUCCUUACCCAUGUCUUUUGAGUACCUUCGUUUCCUCGGCGGGUCCGCCCGCCGAUUGGACAAUUUAAAACCAUUUGCAGUUGCAAUCAGCGUCUGAAAAAACUUAAUAGUUA
This 140-nucleotide unclassified non-coding RNA is filed under the name soil metagenome. Its description in RNAcentral is "partial internal transcribed spacer 1". The record is from RNAcentral.